GGAAUUGUAGCUCAGUGGUAGAGCACUUGCCUCGUAUCCAUGAGGCACUGGGUUUGAUCCUCAGUACCA
This 69-nucleotide transfer RNA is filed under the name Ictidomys tridecemlineatus (thirteen-lined ground squirrel). RNAcentral's name for it is "Spermophilus tridecemlineatus (thirteen-lined ground squirrel) tRNA". It matches the Rfam family "tRNA". From Rfam's summary of the family: Transfer RNA (tRNA) molecules are approximately 80 nucleotides in length. Their secondary structure includes four short double-helical elements and three loops (D, anti-codon, and T loops). The record is from Rfam by way of RNAcentral. Lineage: Eukaryota; Metazoa; Chordata; Mammalia; Rodentia; Sciuridae.